UCCAGUAUGUAACCCAAAUCCUGGAUUGCUAUAUAAUAGUUAUUGGUUGUGAUCUUAAUUUUCUUGUCUGAAACAAUGAUGAUGAUGAUGAUGAUACCUACUUCUGGAUGUUGUAACUCCAUCCAUUAAAUGGUGAUACUAAUGAAGCCUACGUCAUAGAAUUGUCUAACAUCUUUACUGUGAGAUGCAGUUUUGAUGCCAGUUGUCAGAAAAAUGUGCCCCACCUUUUUUUCCCUCUUUUAAGCAAUUUCAAGAAAUAAAUCCCUGGAAAUACAUACUUUAGAUAGACACAAUGACCAGAACUGAUACUGGUGCUUCCAUCACCAGGAAAGUAGCUGAGAGAUACUGUUACUAGUUCCUGUUUCCCAAUCACUGGCACUACUUUUGUUCCUUCCCUUUAUUGACCUUGUUCUUUGGCUUUUCCUUUGUUUUUCUCAGCUAUGCCAUAUUCCUCCAAUAAAUUCCUUUUGUUUG
This 474-nucleotide long non-coding RNA is filed under the name Canis lupus familiaris (dog). RNAcentral describes it as "lncRNA (ENSCAFG00000036557.3)". Lineage: Eukaryota; Metazoa; Chordata; Mammalia; Carnivora; Canidae. The record is from RNAcentral.